AUAGUAUUUGCUAAUUUCUGUGCCAGCAGCAGCGGUAAUACAGAAAAUGCAAGCGUUAUUCAUUUUAUUAGGCGUAAAGCGUUUUAAGGUUUUAUAUUAAUUUUAUGUUUAAAUAUUUAAAUUAAAUUUAAAAUAAAUUAAUAAAUAAUAAUAUAAUAGAGUAUUAUAAAAGUAUUAAGAAUUUUUUGAGAAGUAGUGAAAUACAAUGAUACAAAAAAGAAUAUCAAAGGCGAAAGCAUAAUACUAUAUAAUUACUGACACUUAAAAACGAAAGCUAAGGUAGCAAAUAGGAUUAGAUACCCUAGUAGUCUUAGCUGUAAACUAUGAAUAUUUUAUAUUUAUAUUUUAUAAAUAUAAUAACUAACGUGAUAAAUAUUCCGCCUGAGUAGUAUAUUCGCAAGAAUGAAAUUCAAAGGAAUUGACGGGAGCUUAUACAAGUGGUGGAACAUGUGGCUUAAUUCGAUGCAACACGAUAAACCUUACCAAAAUUUAACAAUAUUUUUAAUAUUAAGAAAUUAAUAUUUUAAUAAAAUAUAUAGGUAGUGCAUGGCUGUCGUCAGUUCGUGCUGUGAAGUGUUAAUUUUAGUAUUAUAACGAACGUAACCUUUUAUAAAAAAAAUUUUUAUAAUAAAUAAUAAUAAAGAUUACGUCAAGUCAUUAUGCUCCUUAUAUUUUGGGCUGCUCACGUGUUACAUAAAAUAUUACAAUAUUUUAUUAUAUGUUAAAUAUAAUAAUUAAAAUAUAUUUAUAGUUCAGAUUAUAAAUUGAAACUCAUUUAUAUAAAGAUGGAAUCACUAGUAAUCGCUAAUCAGAAUUAUAGCGGUGAAUAAGUUCUUAAGCUUUGUACACACCGCCCGUCACAUCUAAAAAGUAUCAUAUUAUAUAAAAAUUAUUGUUAAAUAAUAAUAUAUAAUUAUAUAAUUUAGAUGAAGUCGUAACAAGGUAGCCGUACUGGAAGGUGCGGCUG
RNAcentral lists this ribosomal RNA (967 nucleotides) under Plasmodium falciparum 397.1. RNAcentral describes it as "bacterial SSU rRNA". It matches the Rfam family "Bacterial small subunit ribosomal RNA", at positions 487 to 1520 of the family's 1533-position model. The record is from RNAcentral. Lineage: Eukaryota; Apicomplexa; Aconoidasida; Haemosporida; Plasmodiidae.